UAUAAGGGGUGCGGAGAUGUUCCUGGAUGUCAAAAAGCCAGCCCACCCGAACUUCCCGUAAAAGAAAAAAAUCCCUCGGCACCCACCUUAUCCACUUACCCCGCAUCCUCCCAUGAUCCUCCCCGACCAACUUCCCGCCGCCGCCUCCCUGCUCCGGCGCGCCUCCUGCCGCUAGCCCCACAGCCCCGGCGUGCUUCCUGCCGCUGCUUCCCUCGGCCCCGGUGCUCCCCCGCCGCCGCCCACCCUGGGCGUGACGCGCCUCCGCCACCGCCCACCCUGGCCGCGACGCGCCUCCGCCGCCGCUCCGCCCACCCUGGCCCCGACGCGCCUCCAUCCGCCGCCCCCCGACGCGCCUCCUGCUGCCUCCCUCCACCUGCUUUGAUGACGGCGCCGGCCACCUCCACCUUCUUACACCGCUGCACCGGCCACAGCAACCUUCUUCCACUACUGCGCUGGCCACCCCCUCCUUCUUCCACCACGGCACCAGCCUCCCCCUCCUUCCACCACGACGCCAGCCUCCCCCUCCUUCCACGUGCAGAUUGGGCACUGCCUCCAGCUAGAGGAGACGUCGACCUGCAGCUGAAGGAGGCCCUGACCUGCAACGGGUCGUGUGCGUCACUGCGACGCCCAGGCCGUCCAACUUCGCCAACUCAGGCAGUUCAACCCCCGCGCCCAAUCCUCCUUGGCCACAAAUGACAAUCACAGCUAACCCUGACUCUGCGGCCUUACUAGCGCCGUUCAAGGUUCUCGGCCGCAGCUCCUCACUAGUGCAGAGAUUUGAGUGCAGACCCCUGCGCCAAGUAAAUGGCAUGCACGCUCCUCUGGGAAUGCUCCUCCAAAUAUUCAAGCGGAAAGUCUUCUUCACGUUCUGGACUUGUGCCCUAGCUUCUUUUGAACUUCUGUUGAUUCAUACCUAAAUGAAUUUGUACUAUGAUUUUUCAUCAGCUUUUUGGUGAAAUAAUGCUUCCUGUUCACAUCAACAAAUGCUUCGUGGAGGACUUCUCCAACGACUUGCAGGUUCGGCAAUAGACAAGGAAGCUGCCCAGACCAUUUUCUCAUGUACGGGUUGUAUGCAGCGUACAGAUAGACCUCCCCUGCCCGGCAGCUAUGGCGUGUGGCUGCCUAGCACAUCGACGCCCCAAGUUUCAGAAAUCCUUCAGGAAAAAAUGCAAAAGAAAAAUGGAGCAGGGGUCGCAAGCCUCAAGCCCUCUCUCCACUUGGUGGCUUCUUGUUCUCAAAGCACAAGCUGCUGCUGCUACUAUUAGUAAACUACUUCUGCUCACUAUAAUGGGCUGAGGGGCGUUGCCCAACUGCGUGGAUGCUCGCCUGCUCACUGAGGGUCGCGGCAGUCCACCCCGAAGCCGUCUGCAGGAGGAGCUUGCACCAGUCCCGCCUCUCCUUCGUCCAGUGCUCCAAGAGGCCAGGGCAGAAAAAUCGAUCAUCUUCUGAUGAGCCCUGCCCCAACAGGAACCUCUCUCCCUACCUCUCUUCGCUACUGAUGGGCACCAUAGUGUGAAGUUGAUGUAGAGAACAAGUUCUGAUUAUGUGCUCUGUACAUGCUUGUUGAUAUGUCAAUGAGAACCAACUUUUUUUCUUCA
Triticum urartu is the source of this 1598-nucleotide long non-coding RNA. RefSeq lists it as uncharacterized. Lineage: Eukaryota; Viridiplantae; Streptophyta; Magnoliopsida; Poales; Poaceae. The record is from RefSeq and is a predicted model, not a curated record.